RNAcentral lists this ribosomal RNA (253 nucleotides) under uncultured bacterium. Its description in RNAcentral is "partial 16S ribosomal RNA". It matches the Rfam family "Bacterial small subunit ribosomal RNA", at positions 524 to 776 of the family's 1533-position model. The record is from RNAcentral.
UACGUAGGGCGCAAGCGUUGUCCGGAAUUAUUGGGCGUAAAGAGCUCGUAGGCGGUUUGUCGCGUCUGUCGUGAAAGCUUGGGGCUUAACCCCAAGUCUGCGGUGGAUACGGGCAGACUAGAGGCAGGUAGGGGAGAACGGAAUUCCCGGUGUAGCGGUGAAAUGCGCAGAUAUCGGGAAGAACAUCAGUGGCGAAGGCGGCCUGCUGGGCUGUUGCUGACGCUGAGGCGCGACAGCGUGGGGAGCAAACAGG